UCCUCUGAUGGAUCUCAGCAAAGUAAAUUGAAAGCCACUGGAAAGGAUUCACCAGUCUAGAUGCCAUUAAGAACAUUUGUGAUUCAUUGAAGAAGGUCAAAAUAUCAACAUUAAAGAGUUUGGAAGAAAUUGAUUCCAACCUUCACAGAUGACUUUGAAGAAUCCAAGGCUUCAGUGGAGAAAGUAACUGCAAAUGUGGUAGAAAUAGCAAGAGAACUAGAAUUAAAAGUGGAGUCUGAAGAGGUUACUGAAUUGCUAUAAUCUCAUGAUAGAGUUUGAAGGGAUGAGCAAGUUGCUUCUUAUGGGUAAGCAAAAAAAAAAGGAGAACCUUAAAAUUAAAACUACUGCUGUAAAGAUGCUAUGAACACUGCCAAAAUGACAACAAAGCAUUUAGAAUGGCACAUAAACUUAGUUUAUAAGUAGUGACAAGGUCUGAGAGGAUUGACUCCACUUUGAAAGAAGUUCUACAUAAGGUAUCAAACAUCUCAUGCAACAGCGAAACUUUUCAUGAAAGGAAAAGUCAAUCAAUGCAGGAAACUUCAUUGUCUUAUUUCAGAAAUUGCCACAGCCACUUCAACUUUUCACAACCACCACCUUGAUCAACCAGCAGCCAUCAACAUUGAGGGAAGACUCUCCACCAGCAAAAAGAUUACAAUUCACUGAAGGUUCAGAUGAUUAUCAGCCUUUUUUGCAAUAAAGUCUUUUCAGUUAAGUGGAAGAAACCUUCACUAAAGGCCUGGGACUUAGCUUACAGAUAUAGAGAAAAACAAAGUCAGAUUCUCAAGUUACUGCAUUCUCAUGUAUCCUGCUUUCUACUUGGAUAAUUAUUAUGGACUGAAUUGUGUUCCCCUAAAAUUUGUAGUCUGAAGCCCUAACCUUCAAUGUGACUGUAUUGGGAGAUAAGGCCUUUAAAGAAGUGAUUAUGGUUAAAUGAGAUUGUAAAAGUGAGGCCCUAAUCUAAUAGGACUGGUAUCCUUCUAAGAACAGGAGAAGACACCAGAGAUCUAUCUCUCUCCAUGCACAGAGGAAAGGCCAUAUGAGGACACAGCAAGAAGACGCCAUCUGUAAGCCACGGAGAGGGGCCUGAGAAGAAACCAGCCCUGCUGGUACCCUGAUCUUGGACUUUCAGCCUCCAGAACUGCAAGAAAAUUUCGUUAAGCCACCCAGUUUGUGGUAUUUUGUUAUGGCAGCCUGUGCAGACUGAGACAAUCAUGAAGUGUUAAUUUAAUCAGUAAGAAUAAACCAACCUGAAA
This 1253-nucleotide long non-coding RNA is filed under the name Homo sapiens (human). RNAcentral's name for it is "HSALNT0107720". Lineage: Eukaryota; Metazoa; Chordata; Mammalia; Primates; Hominidae. The record is from RNAcentral.